Suncus etruscus (white-toothed pygmy shrew) is the source of this 103-nucleotide small nucleolar RNA. RefSeq annotates it as small nucleolar RNA U13. The transcript has a single exon. The record is from RefSeq and is a predicted model, not a curated record. NCBI's taxonomy places the organism in Eukaryota, Metazoa, Chordata, Mammalia, Eulipotyphla, Soricidae.
AUCCUUUUCCGGUUCAUAAGCAUGAUGAGCCAUUUUCACACAUCUGUGUAAUAUGUGCCUCCCUUCAACCUUGUUACGAUGUUGGUACAUGACUCUUCGGACU